UGUUAUGUUGUGUCUUUACGACAGGUUCUU
RNAcentral lists this non-coding RNA (30 nucleotides) under Mus musculus (house mouse). The record is from RNAcentral. Lineage: Eukaryota; Metazoa; Chordata; Mammalia; Rodentia; Muridae.